UCACCUACGGGGGGCAGCAGUAGGGAAUUUUCGGCAAUGGGGGGAACCCUGACCGAGCAACGCCGCGUGAACGAAGAAGUUAUUCGUAAUGUAAAGUUCUUUUAUCAGGGAAGAAAGAGGAAUUUGACGGUACCUGAGGAAUAAGCUCCGGCUAACUACGUGCCAGCAGCCGCGGUAAUACGUAGGUGGCAAGCGUUGUCCGGAUUUACUGGGUGUAAAGGGCGUGUAGCCGGGUUGACAAGUCAGAUGUGAAAUCCUGCGGCUUAACCGCAGAACUGCAUUUGAAACUGUUGAUCUUGAGUACU
RNAcentral lists this ribosomal RNA (305 nucleotides) under uncultured bacterium. RNAcentral describes it as "bacterial SSU rRNA". It matches the Rfam family "Bacterial small subunit ribosomal RNA", at positions 335 to 650 of the family's 1533-position model. The record is from RNAcentral.